Molecule: RNA transcript, 1358 nt
Organism: Pistacia vera
Lineage: Eukaryota; Viridiplantae; Streptophyta; Magnoliopsida; Sapindales; Anacardiaceae
Gene name: UDP-glycosyltransferase 83A1-like
Exons: 3
Source: RefSeq, a predicted model, not a curated record
UUACAUCCCAGCUAAAACCAACAGACAUCAAUUUCAAGAAAGGAAAGUGAAGAACGAAAUGGGAAAUCCUUGUGUUUUGGUUAUACCUUUUCCAGCACAAGGCCAUGUAAUUCCUUUAAUGGAGCUAUCUCAAUGGUUGGUGAAACACGGCAUCAGAAUUACAUUUGUAAACACAGAUGACAAACAUAAGCAUGUUACGGAUGCAUUGGCAAUGAAGGAUGGUGUAGGGAAUCAGAUUCACCUUGUUUCGGUUCCACAAGGACCGGAGUUUCCAGAGAUUUCAGGUCAAUUAACAGAGAAACUUGUUGAAGUAGUCUCAUGUCUUAGGCCAAGAAAAGUUGGAGAGCUGAUUGAAAAGAUUAAUGCAUCAGAUGGUGAUAAGAUCACAUGUAUUCUCUCAGAUCCCAUUCUUAAAUGGGCCAUGGAAAUUGCGGUGGAGAAAAGAAUCAAGCCAGCCGCCUUCUAUUGUGCUUCAGCCACACAAAUGCUCUUAAGAUCUGGCAUCCAAAAGUUGAUUGAUGAUGGAAUUGUUGAUGAAGAUGAUACAGCACCAUAAAAUUAAGGCAUCACACAGGAUUUGGUCAUAAAGCAUGUAAAGACAAGGGAUUGAAUGAUUAUGCCUCAGAUUAUAAUCCAAAGGGUUUAUUGUUAUGUUCUGUGUCUUCUUUGAACUUCCAGCUGAAUCAUAAACAAUGAACUCCAAAGAAAGAGAUGUUUCGGUUGUCACCAACCAUGCCGGUCAUGAAAACAGCACACAUAGCAUCUAUCGGACUUGGCAAGACAAAAAUGUAGAGACUCUUCUUUCAAAAUUCAGUUAGAAACAACCGAUCAUCAGAACUAGCAGAAUGGGUGCUUUGCAAUUCAACUUAUGACCUUGAGCCUGCAACAUUUAAGUUUGAUCCAAAAGUAUUACCUAUAGGCCCACUUUUGGCGAGCAACCGAUUUGGAGAUGCAGCAGGAAGCUUCUAGAAAGAGGACUUAAUUUGUUUGAAAUGGCUUGAUCAACAGCAACCACAGUCGGUCUUAUAUUUUUCCUUUGGCAGUAUAACUAUUUUUGACAAAACCCAGUUCCAAGAAUUAGCUAUGGGACUUCAACUCUCCAACAGACCAUUCCUUUGGGUCGUGCGCCCUGAUAUCACAGAUAAAAUAAAUGAUGCCUAUCCGGAAGUAUUUACAAACAGAGUAGUGAGUCGAGGGCAUAUAGUUAGUUGGGCGCCUCAACAUAAGGUUUUGGCACAUCCUUCCAUUGCUUGCUUCAUAAGCCACUGUGGAUGGAACUCCACCAUUGAAGCUAUAAGCAAUGGUGUCCUGUUCUUGUGUUGGCCUUACUUUACAGACCAGAUGCACAAUGAGAAUUA